AAAUUGAAGAGUUUGAUCAUGGCUCAGAUUGAACGCUGGCGGCAGGCCUAACACAUGCAAGUCGAGCGGAAACGAGUUAUCUGAACCUUCGGGGGACGAUAACGGCGUCGAGCGGCGGACGGGUGAGUAAUGCCUAGGAAAUUGCCCUGAUGUGGGGGAUAACCAUUGGAAACGAUGGCUAAUACCGCAUGAUGCCUACGGGCCAAAGAGGGGGACCUUCGGGCCUCUCGCGUCAGGAUAUGCCUAGGUGGGAUUAGCUAGUUGGUGAGGUAAGGGCUCACCAAGGCGACGAUCCCUAGCUGGUCUGAGAGGAUGAUCAGCCACACUGGAACUGAGACACGGUCCAGACUCCUACGGGAGGCAGCAGUGGGGAAUAUUGCACAAUGGGCGCAAGCCUGAUGCAGCCAUGCCGCGUGUGUGAAGAAGGCCUUCGGGUUGUAAAGCACUUUCAGUCGUGAGGAAGGUAGUGUAGUUAAUAGCUGCAUCGUUUGACGUUAGCGACAGAAGAAGCACCGGCUAACUCCGUGCCAGCAGCCGCGGUAAUACGGAGGGUGCGAGCGUUAAUCGGAAUUACUGGGCGUAAAGCGCAUGCAGGUGGUUUGUUAAGUCAGAUGUGAAAGCCCGGGGCUCAACCUCGGAAUUGCAUUUGAAACUGGCAGACUAGAGUACUGUAGAGGGGGGUAGAAUUUCAGGUGUAGCGGUGAAAUGCGUAGAGAUCUGAAGGAAUACCGGUGGCGAAGGCGGCCCCCUGGACAGAUACUGACACUCAGAUGCGAAAGCGUGGGGAGCAAACAGGAUUAGAUACCCUGGUAGUCCACGCCGUAAACGAUGUCUACUUGGAGGUUGUGGCCUUGAGCCGUGGCUUUCGGAGCUAACGCGUUAAGUAGACCGCCUGGGGAGUACGGUCGCAAGAUUAAAACUCAAAUGAAUUGACGGGGGCCCGCACAAGCGGUGGAGCAUGUGGUUUAAUUCGAUGCAACGCGAAGAACCUUACCUACUCUUGACAUCCAGAGAACUUUCCAGAGAUGGAUUGGUGCCUUCGGGAACUCUGAGACAGGUGCUGCAUGGCUGUCGUCAGCUCGUGUUGUGAAAUGUUGGG
This 1099-nucleotide ribosomal RNA is filed under the name Vibrio parahaemolyticus. Its description in RNAcentral is "bacterial SSU rRNA". It matches the Rfam family "Bacterial small subunit ribosomal RNA", at positions 1 to 1079 of the family's 1533-position model. The record is from RNAcentral. Lineage: Bacteria; Pseudomonadati; Pseudomonadota; Gammaproteobacteria; Vibrionales; Vibrionaceae.